This 400-nucleotide ribosomal RNA is filed under the name uncultured bacterium. RNAcentral's name for it is "bacterial SSU rRNA". It matches the Rfam family "Bacterial small subunit ribosomal RNA", at positions 975 to 1375 of the family's 1533-position model. The record is from RNAcentral.
CUGGCCUUGAGAUCCCGACGGAUGCGGGGCAACGCCCGCAGCCCUUCGGGGCGUCGGAGACAGGUGGCGCAUGGUUGUCGUCAGCUCGUGUCGUGAGAUGUUGGGUCAAGUCCCGCAACGAGCGCAACCCUUGUCCUUAGUAGCCAGCGAGCAAGACGGGCACUCUAGGGAGACUGCCGGGGAUGACCCGGAGGAAGGCGGGGAUGACGUCAAAUCAUCAUGCCCCUUAUGGCCAGGGCUACACACGUGCUACAAUGGCGCCCACAGAGGGAAGCGAACCCGCGAGGGGGAGCAGAACCCAGAAAAGGCGUCCCAGUUCGGAUUGCAGGCUGCAACCCGCCUGCAUGAAGCUGGAAUCGCUAGUAAUCGCGGAUCAGAACGCCGCGGUGAAUGCGUUCCC